This 90-nucleotide transfer RNA is filed under the name bacterium. RNAcentral's name for it is "tRNA-Ser". It matches the Rfam family "tRNA". Rfam says of the family: Transfer RNA (tRNA) molecules are approximately 80 nucleotides in length. Their secondary structure includes four short double-helical elements and three loops (D, anti-codon, and T loops). Further hydrogen bonds mediate the characteristic L-shaped molecular structure. tRNAs have two regions of fundamental functional importance: the anti-codon, which is responsible for specific mRNA codon recognition, and the 3' end, to which the tRNAs corresponding amino acid is attached (by aminoacyl-tRNA synthetases). tRNAs cope with the degeneracy of the genetic code in two manners: having more than one tRNA (with a specific anti-codon) for a particular amino acid; and 'wobble' base-pairing, i.e. permitting non-standard base-pairing at the 3rd anti-codon position. The record is from RNAcentral.
GGAGAGGUGUCAGAGUGGCCGAAUGAGCAUCUUUGCUAAAGAUGUAAGGGUGAAAGCCCUUCGAGGGUUCGAAUCCCUCCCUCUCCGCCA